RNAcentral lists this ribosomal RNA (468 nucleotides) under uncultured bacterium. RNAcentral describes it as "partial 16S ribosomal RNA". It matches the Rfam family "Bacterial small subunit ribosomal RNA", at positions 28 to 507 of the family's 1533-position model. The record is from RNAcentral.
GACGAACGCUGGCGGCGUGCUUAACACAUGCAAGUCGAACGGAAAGGCCCUGCUUUUGUGGGGUGCUCGAGUGGCGAACGGGUGAGUAACACGUGAGUAACCUGCCCUUGACUUUGGGAUAACUUCAGGAAACUGGGGCUAAUAUCGGAUAGGAGCUCCUGCUGCAUGGUGGGGGUUGGAAAGUUUCGGCGGUUGGGGAUGGACUCGCGGCUUAUCAGCUAGUUGGUGGGGUAGUGGCUUACCAAGGCUUUGACGGGUAGCCGGCCUGAGAGGGUGACCGGCCACAUUGGGACUGAGAUACGGCCCAGACUCCUACGGGAGGCAGCAGUGGGGAAUAUUGCACAAUGGGCGGAAGCCUGAUGCAGCAACGCCGCGUGCGGGAUGACGGCCUUCGGGUUGUAAACCGCUUUCGCCUGUGACGAAGCGUGAGUGACGGUAAUGGGUAAAGAAGCACCGGCUAACUACGUG